CACGUAGGGCGCAAGCGUUGUCCGGAAUUAUUGGGCGUAAAGAGCUCGUAGGCGGUCUGUUACGUCCGCUGUGAAAACCCGGGGCUUAACCCCUGGCUUGCAGUGGAUACGGACAGACUAGAGGUAGGUAGGGGAGAAUGGAAUUCCCGGUGUAGCGGUGAAAUGCGCAGAUAUCGGGAGGAACACCGGUGGCGAAGGCGGUUCUCUGGGCCUUACCUGACGCUGAGGAGCGAAAGCGUGGGGAGCGAACAGG
RNAcentral lists this ribosomal RNA (253 nucleotides) under uncultured bacterium. RNAcentral describes it as "partial 16S ribosomal RNA". It matches the Rfam family "Bacterial small subunit ribosomal RNA", at positions 524 to 776 of the family's 1533-position model. The record is from RNAcentral.